UGUACGCUUGGAGAUGGCAUUCCUCCGCCCUCGGCGUUCCGGGGGGAACCGCCAUUGUGGCCGAUGAUGCCUGCUCGUUU
Molecule: non-coding RNA, 80 nt
Filed under: Frateuria sp.
Lineage: Bacteria; Pseudomonadati; Pseudomonadota; Gammaproteobacteria; Lysobacterales; Rhodanobacteraceae
Description: Fluoride sequence
Rfam family: Fluoride riboswitch aptamer (crcB RNA motif)
Source: RNAcentral